UAGGGAAUCUUCCACAAUGGACGCAAGUCUGAUGGAGCAACGCCGCGUGAGUGAAGAAGGUCUUCGGAUCGUAAAACUCUGUUGUUAGAGAAGAACACGAGUGAGAGUAACUGUUCAUUCGAUGACGGUAUCUAACCAGCAAGUCACGGCUAACUACGUGCCAGCAGCCGCGGUAAUACGUAGGUGGCAAGCGUUGUCCGGAUUUAUUGGGCGUAAAGGGAACGCAGGCGGUCUUUUAAGUCUGAUGUGAAAGCCUUCGGCUUAACCGGAGAAGUGCAUCGGAAACUGGAUAACUUGAGUGCAGAAGAGGGUAGUGGAACUCCAUGUGUAGCGGUGGAAUGCGUAGAUAUAUGGAAGAACACCAGUGGCGAAGGCGGCUACCUGGUCUGCAACUGACGCUGAGACUCGAAAGCAUGGGUAGCGAACAGGAUUAGAUACCCUGGUAGUCCAUGCCGUAAACGAUGAGUGCUAGGUGUUGGAGGGUUUCCGCCCUUCAGUGCCGGAGCUAACGCAUUAAGCACUCCGCCUGGGGAGUAUGACCGCAAGGUUG
This 550-nucleotide ribosomal RNA is filed under the name uncultured bacterium. Its description in RNAcentral is "bacterial SSU rRNA". It matches the Rfam family "Bacterial small subunit ribosomal RNA", at positions 355 to 896 of the family's 1533-position model. The record is from RNAcentral.